This 705-nucleotide long non-coding RNA is filed under the name Ananas comosus (pineapple). RNAcentral's name for it is "long non-coding RNA (ACOM_LNC005999)". Lineage: Eukaryota; Viridiplantae; Streptophyta; Magnoliopsida; Poales; Bromeliaceae. The record is from RNAcentral.
GACAAACCCAACUUGUUAUGAUACAAGUUUAAAUAUAAUUUUUUUGGAAAAACUUUAAAUAUCUCUGUAUUUAACGCUUUAUCACUUUAGUAUCUUGUGGUUUAGAAAACAUUAUUUUAAAAUUCUAUGAUAUUACUUUUUUUCCUUCCCGUUAGUCCUUUUGUUAAUUUUUUUCAUUAAAGUAUAUAGGAAAAGCUUAGGAUACCCCUUGCGUGGUUUAUCAAUUUUUUACUUUAUAAAACUAAGUAUUAUUCAAGUAAUAUACUUUAAACUGUACGAUACUAAUGGACAAAAAUGCUAAACCACAUGGGAUAUUUGAAGUUUUUCUUUUAUUUUUUAUCCUAUUCUAUGUAGGGAUGUCAACAUGACAGAUUCAAGGCAGGUUUUCAAAAAUCCGAAUCUAAAUGUGAAACCUAAAACCGAAGGAUUUUUAAAAUCUCAUCGAACCCAACCAAAAAUUCAAAACCGAAAUCCGAACUUAAAAGCCUGAAUCUGAAAUAAUUAUUUCGUUUUACCAUAUUUCAAAAAUAUAUUAUACUAAAAUUCAAAAUUUUAAAAUAUAUAUUCAAAUAUAAUAUCAAACAUUUAUAUAUAUAUUAUAUAAUGUAAAAUCAAUUCGGGCUUGAAUCGGGUACAAACAAAACUAAUACUCAAAUCUGAAUCCAUCCGUUUUUUGUUUUUUAUGCCAUAUCCGAAACCAAAUCU